CCUACGGGUGGCAGCAGUGGGGAAUAUUGCACAAUGGGGGAAACCCUGAUGCAGCGACGCCGCGUGAGUGAAGAAGUAAUUCGGUACGUAAAGCUCUAUCAGCAGGGAAGAAAAUGACGGUACCUGAGUAAGAAGCCCCGGCUAAGUACGUGCCAGCAGCCGCGGUAAUACGUAGGGGGCAAGCGUUAUCCGGAUUUACUGGGUGUAAAGGGAGCGUAGGCGGGGGGCGAAGUCUGGAGGGAAAUGCCGCAGGUUAACUGCGGAACUGCUUUGGAAACUGGCGAACUAGAGUGCGGGAGGGGUGAGGUGAAUUCCAGGUGUAGCGGUGAAAUGCGUAGAUAUUAGGAGGAAAACCGGUGGCGAAGGCGGCUUACUGGACCGUAACUGACGUUGAGGCUCGAAAGCGGGGGGAGCAAACAGGAUUAGAGACCCUUGUAGUC
Molecule: ribosomal RNA, 440 nt
Filed under: uncultured bacterium
Lineage: Bacteria
Description: partial 16S ribosomal RNA
Rfam family: Bacterial small subunit ribosomal RNA
Source: RNAcentral